Long non-coding RNA from Oncorhynchus tshawytscha (Chinook salmon), 490 nucleotides. RefSeq lists it as uncharacterized. The transcript is spliced from 3 exons. The record is from RefSeq and is a predicted model, not a curated record. NCBI's taxonomy places the organism in Eukaryota, Metazoa, Chordata, Actinopteri, Salmoniformes, Salmonidae.
CAGACACAUUUCCUGUUAUUCCUUGCCUAGGCUUACCUACAAUUUUCUAUCCUCGAAAUCCAAAGCUCAGACAUGAGAAAACGGCACAGUUGAGAGAGAAUGAGAGAAUGCAUACAAACAGGCACGGUGAGUCAGACGCUCAAUGCCCGUUGAUGGUGAAGAUUUUACAUGCGGUGAAGGGUGUACCAGCAGGCUCCAUGGCACGAAGUGUCUCCCGACGAGAGACCAAUGGAAUGAUCUGGGCACAGGUUGCUAGUAGGUGGUGUUCGAGGUCCGCGCGGAGGGACAUCGUCACAACACCCUGGCCCUGUUGCGGAGUCCCUUCUCCUACACUACCACGGCUGUCGUGAUAAUCGCACACACACCUGACCAAGCUUAACAAAUAAAGAGCAGGUAAACGACUGAGUGAGCCUUUUGUUUAACGAACACUGCCACACACACACAUUACUACGUAAAGUGGGACAAUUGUCUGCACUGGCCAGUUAAGGGA